RNAcentral lists this unclassified non-coding RNA (276 nucleotides) under Glomus sp. Its description in RNAcentral is "partial internal transcribed spacer 2". The record is from RNAcentral. Lineage: Eukaryota; Fungi; Glomeromycota; Glomeromycetes; Glomerales; Glomeraceae.
GUGAAUCAUCGAAUUUUUGAACGCAAAUUGCACUCUCCUCGAAGAGGAUGCCUGUCUCAGGGUCAGCCUAUAAAAAAUCGACAUCGUUGCUGUUGCUCGUUUUCGUUCUUCGGAAAUUGAGUCAUCUUAAAUCAUUUGGUGUUAAGCGACUUAAAAUUUUCUUUUUUGUUCCAUGGACUUUUCUAAUAUUUAUUUCUUUACACGUUUAAGGUAUCUAUUUUUAUUAGACGUUACUAUUAUAUCGGAUCUCUCCCUUUAUCUUUCAUUAACUGAACU